Molecule: ribosomal RNA, 325 nt
Filed under: uncultured Glomus
Lineage: Eukaryota; Fungi; Glomeromycota; Glomeromycetes; Glomerales; Glomeraceae
Description: SSU rRNA
Rfam family: Eukaryotic small subunit ribosomal RNA
Source: RNAcentral
AGCAGCCGCGGUAAUUCCAGCUCCAAUAGCGUAUAUUAAAGUUGUUGCAGUUAAAAAGCUCGUAGUUGAAUUUCGGGAUCAAUUUAUUGGUCGUGCUAUUGUACGUACUGGUAUUAUUGAUUCCUACCUUCUGACGAACCAUGAUGUCAUUAAUUUGGUGUCAUGGGGAAUCAGGACUGUUACUUUGAAAAAUUAGAGUGUUUAAAGCAGGCUCACGCUUGAAUACAUUAGCAUGGAAUAACGAAAUAGGACGUUUGAUUCUAUUUUGUUGGUUUCUAGGAUCGACGUAAUGAUUAAUAGGGAUAGUUGGGGGCAUUUAGUAUUC